This is a long non-coding RNA of Cygnus olor (mute swan), 242 nucleotides long. RefSeq lists it as uncharacterized. NCBI's taxonomy places the organism in Eukaryota, Metazoa, Chordata, Aves, Anseriformes, Anatidae. The record is from RefSeq and is a predicted model, not a curated record. The transcript is spliced from 3 exons.
UUUACUGGAUAUAACCUUGAUUCAUGGAAGAACUCUGUAACUCAAAGCAAAUAAGUUAUAAAGUAGGUAUGUGGUUUAUUUCGGCGCCGGGCGCAUGCGGGAUAGCUCCCACAGGCAUGCGCACCUUAACACAGCAACUUGCUUUGGUUAUAUGCAGUAAAAAGUUAUAUAUGCAUGAGGUUUCCCAAUACGCCUAUACAUAUUCAUAACCUAUCUCCGCUUUGUAUUAAAAUUAGCUCCAA